GUGGAGAUCAGUUUCCUGAGCGAGCCCUCCUUUGUUAGUGUGUGUCCUCUCCUGGGAUCUGUCUGGCAGUUUGUGGUGCCCAGUAGCCAUUUGAGUGGAUGAAUAAUAACAGAUUGCCCUUCAUGGCUUUGGGCAAAUUACUUAAUGUCCCCAGGCCUUGGUUCCCCCAUCCCAGUGAUGGUGCAUAGUGAGCCAUUAAUAAGUAUUAUGGCUGUUCAUAAUGAAGCAGGACAGCUGUGGGCUGCUGUGUGGCCCCUGCUUGUAGGGGAGACUUCGGUCCAUCCUGGGAUGUCUUCCUUGCCUGUUUUUGUCUCCUUUAACUGCUCUUCGUGUCACCAUGACAGCUAACAUUAGUACCCCCUACAAUGUGCCAGACCCUGUUCUAAACACUUUGUGUACAUAAGUCCCCGAGACCUUGGACCAACAUUGUGCAACAGAUAUUAUCAUCUCCAUUUUGCUGAUAAAAAUGGAGGCACAGAGUUCAAGUGUCUUACUCUAGAGCAGUUGUUCGACUUCAGCUCUGCUUACAUGGUGGGCUGGAGAAUUCUUGUUUGCGGGGGUGUGGUGAGGGGGCUGCCCUGUGCACUGUAGUAGCAUCUGCUCGCUGGAUGCUGGCAACAGCAUGCAUCCCACCCCGAGCUGUGACAGACUAGCCACCCUGGACUUGCGAAUUGUCCGCUGUGGUGCAGAAUUGCCCCUGGUUGUGAACCCCUCCAAGUAUGGCCGUUGUUGCACCAGCUGCCUCAGUGUGACAUAGGAUUUUGUUAGAAUUGCCAAAUCUUUUACUUUUUCUUUUUAAGUUUUUGUUUUGUUUUGUUUUGUUUUAGUAACCUCUGCACCCAGUGUGGGGCUUGAACUCAUGAUCCCGAGAUCAAGAGUAGCUUGCUCCUUUAACUGAGCCUGCAAGGUGCCCCAGAGUUGCAGGAUCUUGGGCCCUGCCCAGAAGUAGGGAAUCAGAAUUUCUGGGGGGGGGGGGGGAUGUGUGUGCCCAGAGCCUCUCUUAAUCUUAAUCUGUGCCUGUCUCAUGCAUAUUCAUAAUUCCUAUCACUUAUUUACUUGUCUGGCUACCCCACUCACCCAGCCCAACGGGGAGGCAGGGAUGGGGCCUCCUACCUCAGUGCCCCAGCAUCCCCUGCAGUGCCUGAACAUAGGUGCCAUGCAUGUCCGGAUGGGUGGAUGUUGGUUUGCAGCUAGGAUCAAACAUUCUUGUGGACUCCCGGCUCUUGGCCUUGUCAUACACACAGGCAGUUCUCAGGUGCCUACUCUGGAAUUGCAUUUAUCCCCGGGCUGUUCCUAGGCUGACCCUGUUACAGGGUCAACACGGGUAGAACACAACCUGUGUUCUCCCCAAAGUCCCUGGUUCAGAGAGGUCUUAGCUCACAGAGGCAGAAGAUUCUGCCCUACUUGGAGAUGCUACAGGUUGGUUGGUUUUUAUUUGAGACACAGAUGGUGAACAAUAUCUUGUUAGUUUUGGGAGUAAAAUGCUAGGGUUUCAAGAGUGGCUUUUCUCAUUAAAAAGAGAUGGAAUAUGUGCAUAGAGACAAAGGGUCGUGAUCUAUUUAGUGGGAAGAAAUUAGGGAAUACAAGUUAAAGUAUACGUAAAACUAUAUGUAGACUGUAUAUAAAAUGAUACACAAAAACAGAAUCUGUGCAUCUGAGAGACAAAGGGUCUAGUGUGGCCCACAGACUAUGAAUUGCUUUUUACCUGUUUAGGUGAAGUAAAUAUAGCAAUUGAGAGUAAGACUUUGGAAACUUUUUUAAAAAUGCAGUUUGACCUUGCUGAGACUUCCACAAGGCCUUUCACUUUCCUAGCUUAUUUUUUAUUGUAUUAUAGUGUUGAUUCACAGUGGGUGGAUUAUGGGGGUGGAAGAUCCAUUACCAUAUAGUUUGAGAAGCAUGGCUCUAGAAAAAUGUAUCCUCAGAUGUGACUAGUGGCUGUUGCUAGUUGCUAAAAAUGUGGGUGACUUUUAGGUUUCAUUUUUUUGGUAUUUUCUGAAUUUUUCACAAUGACCGUAUUUUAUCAUCUUCAUAAGCAAGGGAUGGGGGUGGAGAAUGAAGCACUAUAAUAAAGAGAUGUCUUUAUGAGUCAAAGAAAUGAAUGUCUAUGGAAGGAAUUUUAGCAACUACGAAGGCUGGUGGGAAAAAAUGUUCUGAUUGGUAGUCCCUGCCUUCAUUGUAGACCAACCCUGGUGUUAGUGGGUUUGCUUGGUGAAUUACUGUAUUGUUAGAUAGUCAUUGUGGUAAUUCCUGGCAGCACAAAAAGUGCUGUGAAGGCAUUUUAGGAUUGUCUGUAGCCAAGAAGCCCUCAUUUGUACACUUACUAUAAACACAAAAAUCACCAAGAUACAAUAGUGAGAAACAUUUCAAGUAUUAGGAAUAUUUAGAUACUGAAACUUAGUUAUGACAUGAAUUUGAGUUACUAUAUGAAUUUUAAGCGGAUGAGGACUGAGGGCACAGAGAGGCUGCCUUGCACCGUCUCACUCACUGGCUUUUCAUUAGCAAACUUCUCUUAGUUUGGGCUGUUGGCAAGAACACAGAAAUAGCUAUCUAUUGCCUUAAAAAAACAAAUCAGAUCGGUCUUCCCUUGAAGCUGUGAAGACCAGUGAGAUGCUACAUAGUCAUCUGGAACCCAUCUUAGGAACAUAGGCACUUGCUGUUAUGGUGCAAAUGGAACUUUUCUGUUGUGAUGUGACCGGAUCCUCAGGUUUAUCCGAGAUGCUAUCCCUCUGACUCUGAGGUGCCCCAAAGUGUCCCCGCCUCAAAAGACGACAGGCUGUGGGGUUGAUGGAUUCGUUGCUGUCCCGGUGGUGGAUAGAAGCUUCAGGUCACCAAAUUGUCAGAGCAGUGGUCCCCAGGGACUGCUGCUUUUUCCUGUAGAGCUGCUAUUUUCCCCUCUGAGCAUUGACUGUAGGGACUGGCAAUGUAGUGGGGGUGUGUAUGUGUUUUGGCUGAAUGAAUUAAAUAUCUACUGAACCUUAUCCUUUGGCAAAUAUCCUGGUUCUCUUUGCCCAGCCCUCCUCUUUUGAGAGUGACUUAAUCUGCCUAGCCUCACUUGGAUGUGUCCAGCAGUAAAGCAGUCUAUGUGGUGCGGGUCUCAGGAUAAUUCGCAGAGUACCUCUUGUAGGGCCCGGCGCAUCAGCCUCUUUCAUUUCCUUAAAGGAAGAUGGAAAACAAUUUUGUUCUGUUCUUGCCUGGUUCUUUCCCUUUGCUCUGUUUUUCUGGAUUAUCCAAGAGAUAUUAAUAUUUGCUCUGACAGAGAGAAACCGCUAACAGGGAGACAGUGAGAGGAACAUCCGCUAUUUGUUGUAACCGCAGACAAGCCCACUUCAUGUAAACUCUUCUGUUGUUUGGCGUGAGGCUCAGCUGAGGCGUGACGAAUGGGCUUUGGUCGUCUUCGUCCACCCUGUCCUUCUGCUGCUAGAAUGCAAGGGUUCUGCUGCUUCCAGUUUGGUUUGAAGCCUGCAUAUUUGAUAUUUUCUUCUCCAGUUUUUGGCUUUAUGGGAAGAACAGUAAAAUGGGGGGUGUCGUCCUGCCUGAUUGUCCUGUUGCUGUUUCUACCCAACAGAUUGUCCCACAACUUCAUUGCUCAGAACAGUGGCAUUUUGCCCAGGACUGUGGGUCAGGAACCUAGGAGAAGGCUCAGUUGGUUAAAUUCCAUUCUCGUGGCUCGGGCACAUGGAACAUCAACAAAAAAAGAUGAAUUGAAAGUGAGUCUUUUCCAAAAGGACAUUCUACAAAGUAACUGGCUCAUAUUAUUCAAAAAUAUCAAGGCCAUGAAAGACAAAAAAAGACUGAAGGACUGUUCCAGAUUAAAGGAGACUAGAGAAACACGGCAGCUGAAUGCAAGCUGGCAAGCCUGGAUUGGAUCCUCAAAGAUUGUUCUCCUUUACUAUAAAAGACAAUAGUGAGACAGUUGAUGCAAUUUGAAUAAAGUCAGAGACUAGUUUAA
This is a long non-coding RNA of Mustela lutreola (European mink), 3949 nucleotides long. RefSeq lists it as uncharacterized. The transcript is spliced from 2 exons. The record is from RefSeq and is a predicted model, not a curated record. Lineage: Eukaryota; Metazoa; Chordata; Mammalia; Carnivora; Mustelidae.